Molecule: long non-coding RNA, 230 nt
Filed under: Brassica napus (rape)
Lineage: Eukaryota; Viridiplantae; Streptophyta; Magnoliopsida; Brassicales; Brassicaceae
Description: long non-coding RNA (BNAP_LNC015786)
Source: RNAcentral
GAGUGUCAUUUCGUGGUCAGGGCCAGAAAUAAGUUAUCGGGUUUUGAUGUUGUUUCCGGCCCUUCCCUGGUAAGUUUUAAUUGAUUUGAUCGAGUAACAUAAUUUCGAUUCUCCAUAAAUCGAGUCGGUUCGCUUAUUUGGUUGGUCGCACCUCUUCAUUGCUAGGUGAUGCCACUUUUCGUUGGGUAGUGCCCUUUCCCCCCAGACAGGUUGUGGUCAUAUGACUUCAA